RNAcentral lists this ribosomal RNA (787 nucleotides) under uncultured bacterium. Its description in RNAcentral is "bacterial SSU rRNA". It matches the Rfam family "Bacterial small subunit ribosomal RNA", at positions 8 to 796 of the family's 1533-position model. The record is from RNAcentral.
AGAGUUUGAUCAUGGCUCAGGAUGAACGCUGGCGGCAGGCUUAACACAUGCAAGUCGAGGGGUAUAGGUUUUCGGACCUAGAGACCGGCGCACGGGUGCGUAACGCGUAUGCAAUCUACCUUUUACAGAGGGAUAGCCCAGAGAAAUUUGGAUUAAUACCUCAUAGUAUUAUUGAAUGGCAUCAUUUAAUAAUUAAAGUCACAACGGUAAAAGAUGAGCAUGCGUCCCAUUAGCUUGUUGGUAAGGUAACGGCUUACCAAGGCAACGAUGGGUAGGGGUCCUGAGAGGGAGAUCCCCCACACUGGUACUGAGACACGGACCAGACUCCUACGGGAGGCAGCAGUGAGGAAUAUUGGUCAAUGGGCGCAAGCCUGAACCAGCCAUGCCGCGUGCAGGAUGAAGCAUCUAUGGUGUGUAAACUGCUUUUGUACGAGAAGAAACACUCCUACGUGUAGGAGCUUGACGGUAUCGUAAGAAUAAGGACCGGCUAACUCCGUGCCAGCAGCCGCGGUAAUACGGAGGGUCCAAGCGUUAUCCGGAAUCAUUGGGUUUAAAGGGUCCGUAGGCGGUUUUGUAAGUCAGUGGUGAAAGCCCAUCGCUCAACGGUGGAACGGCCAUUGAUACUGCAAGACUUGAAUUAUUGGGAAGUAACUAGAAUAUGUAGUGUAGCGGUGAAAUGCUUAGAGAUUACAUGGAAUACCAAUUGCGAAGGCAGGUUACUACCAAUAUAUUGACGCUGAUGGACGAAAGCGUGGGGAGCGAACAGGAUUAGAUACCCUAGUAGUCC